UACGAAGGGGGCUAGCGUUGCUCGGAAUCACUGGGCGUAAAGCGCACGUAGGCGGCUUUCUAAGUCAGGGGUGAAAUCCUGGAGCUCAACUCCAGAACUGCCUUUGAUACUGGGAAGCUCGAGUCCGGAAGAGGUGAGUGGAACUCCGAGUGUAGAGGUGAAAUUCGUAGAUAUUCGGAAGAACACCAGUGGCGAAGGCGGCUCACUGGUCCGGUACUGACGCUGAGGAGCGAAAGCGUGGGGAGCGAACAGG
This 253-nucleotide ribosomal RNA is filed under the name uncultured bacterium. RNAcentral describes it as "partial 16S ribosomal RNA". It matches the Rfam family "Bacterial small subunit ribosomal RNA", at positions 524 to 776 of the family's 1533-position model. The record is from RNAcentral.